RNAcentral lists this long non-coding RNA (461 nucleotides) under Rattus norvegicus (Norway rat). RNAcentral's name for it is "long non-coding RNA NONRATT032657". Lineage: Eukaryota; Metazoa; Chordata; Mammalia; Rodentia; Muridae. The record is from RNAcentral.
UUUAUGCCCUUGUGUCUGUGCAUGUAUUCCACGUGUAUUCAAGGGUCUAUAGAAGCCAUUGUUUCCUCUGGAGGUGGACUUUGAGUCAGUUCUGAGCUGCCUAAGGUGUGUCAGCUGGAACCGAGGAUACUUUUCAGUGCCAAGCUGUCUCUCCAGCCUUGGGUCACUCUGCUGAGGCAACACAGUUCCAUUAUCCAAAAUUUGGGAAAGAUUUUGUACAAAGACCCAAGAUUUCCUGAUAGACCAGAAACUGAACACCCUGCUCCUGGCCCAGACAGCUUGACAGUUGAUGUCCCUAAGAUUUAUGAAGAAAUGCAAGUAUUUAAUGACUGUAUCAGGCUAAGCAAUGCCGCUCGGGAGUCUUAGAUCUGCUUACGAGCCUGCGCUUUGUCUCAGACUAAAAUCACCUACGCAGAUUCCAUUUGACCUGAGAGAACACUGGACUUGGAAUUCGAAAAUUG